CCUACGGGCGGCAGCAGUGGGGAAUAUUGGACAAUGGGCGAAAGCCUGAUCCAGCCAUGCCGCGUGUGUGAAGAAGGCCUUCGGGUUGUAAAGCACUUUCAGUGGGGAAGAAAGCCUUGGGGCUAAUACCCUCGAGGAAGGACAUCACCCACAGAAGAAGCACCGGCUAACUCCGUGCCAGCAGCCGCGGUAAUACGGAGGGUGCGAGCGUUAAUCGGAAUUACUGGGCGUAAAGCGCGCGUAGGCGGCUGAUAAGCCGGUUGUGAAAGCCCCGGGCUCAACCUGGGAACGGCAUCCGGAACUGUCAGGCUAGAGUGCAGGAGAGGAAGGUAGAAUUCCCGGUGUAGCGGUGAAAUGCGUAGAGAUCGGGAGGAAUACCAGUGGCGAAGGCGGCCUUCUGGACUGACACUGACGCUGAGGUGCGAAAGCGUGGGUAGCAAACAGGAUUAGAUACCCCAGUAGUC
Molecule: ribosomal RNA, 464 nt
Filed under: Vreelandella stevensii
Lineage: Bacteria; Pseudomonadati; Pseudomonadota; Gammaproteobacteria; Oceanospirillales; Halomonadaceae
Description: partial 16S ribosomal RNA
Rfam family: Bacterial small subunit ribosomal RNA
Source: RNAcentral